This 155-nucleotide ribosomal RNA is filed under the name Origanum majorana. RNAcentral describes it as "5.8S ribosomal RNA". It matches the Rfam family "5.8S ribosomal RNA". Rfam says of the family: 5.8S ribosomal RNA (5.8S rRNA) is a component of the large subunit of the eukaryotic ribosome. It is transcribed by RNA polymerase I as part of the 45S precursor that also contains 18S and 28S rRNA. Lineage: Eukaryota; Viridiplantae; Streptophyta; Magnoliopsida; Lamiales; Lamiaceae. The record is from RNAcentral. RNAcentral also lists the same sequence under 1 other name.
CUCGGCAACGGAUAUCUCGGCUCUCGCAUCGAUGAAGAACGUAGCGAAAUGCGAUACUUGGUGUGAAUUGCAGAAUCCCGUGAACCAUCGAGUCUUUGAACGCAAGUUGCGCCCGAAGCCAUUAGGCUGAGGGCACGUCUGCCUGGGCGCCACGC